Molecule: ribosomal RNA, 727 nt
Filed under: Pseudomonas aeruginosa
Lineage: Bacteria; Pseudomonadati; Pseudomonadota; Gammaproteobacteria; Pseudomonadales; Pseudomonadaceae
Description: bacterial SSU rRNA
Rfam family: Bacterial small subunit ribosomal RNA
Source: RNAcentral
CUCAGAUUGAACGCUGGCGGCAGGCCUAACACAUGCAAGUCGAGCGGAUGAAGGGAGCUUGCUCCUGGAUUCAGCGGCGGACGGGUGAGUAAUGCCUAGGAAUCUGCCUGGUAGUGGGGGAUAACGUCCGGAAACGGGCGCUAAUACCGCAUACGUCCUGAGGGAGAAAGUGGGGGAUCUUCGGACCUCACGCUAUCAGAUGAGCCUAGGUCGGAUUAGCUAGUUGGUGGGGUAAAGGCCUACCAAGGCGACGAUCCGUAACUGGUCUGAGAGGAUGAUCAGUCACACUGGAACUGAGACACGGUCCAGACUCCUACGGGAGGCAGCAGUGGGGAAUAUUGGACAAUGGGCGAAAGCCUGAUCCAGCCAUGCCGCGUGUGUGAAGAAGGUCUUCGGAUUGUAAAGCACUUUAAGUUGGGAGGAAGGGCAGUAAGUUAAUACCUUGCUGUUUUGACGUUACCAACAGAAUAAGCACCGGCUAACUUCGUGCCAGCAGCCGCGGUAAUACGAAGGGUGCAAGCGUUAAUCGGAAUUACUGGGCGUAAAGCGCGCGUAGGUGGUUCAGCAAGUUGGAUGUGAAAUCCCCGGGCUCAACCUGGGAACUGCAUCCAAAACUACUGAGCUAGAGUACGGUAGAGGGUGGUGGAAUUUCCUGUGUAGCGGUGAAAUGCGUAGAUAUAGGAAGGAACACCAGUGGCGAAGGCGACCACCUGGACUGAUACUGACA